This 1404-nucleotide long non-coding RNA is filed under the name Pogona vitticeps (central bearded dragon). Its description in RNAcentral is "lncRNA (ENSPVIG00000006307.1)". Lineage: Eukaryota; Metazoa; Chordata; Lepidosauria; Squamata; Agamidae. The record is from RNAcentral.
ACCCCUUUCUGAUAAAUCAUAGAAAAAUGAUGUUGGAAGAGGGCCUACAAGGCCAUCCAGUUCAACCCCCCCCCCACACACACACACAGCUCAAGGCAGGAAUCCGAAUCAAAGCAGAUCUGCCAGGGGAUUAUCUAAGUUUUUCUUGAAUGGACCCAAUGUUGGAGCACUCACUAACUCCCAAGGCAACUGGUAUCGCCAAUUAUUUCCCUCCUGAAAAUAAUUAAGAAUGACCACUUGUGAAAAGAUCAGAAAGAGUUAGUUUUUAUAAUGGUUACAAUGGCAAGAUUAAUAUUUGCAAAAGGUUUCAUUUGUAUUGUGUGUAGUUGUUAUGGAAUUUGUACUUUAAUUUAGUUUUGCUACUUGUCAUUUUCCAAAAAUAAAAUAAAAAUUAAUUUUUAUUUUAAAACCCCUGCAUCUUCGUAGGCUCCCUGCUUGACCAUCCUUCCCUCUGGCUGUCUGGUGGCGCGUCAGUUCAGAAGCUUUGCUUCUCUCUCUUUGCAGGAUCUGGUCCAAAGAGCGUCCCAGACCCCAGCCCGCUCAGGGGAGGGCACCUGCUCUUUUGAGGAAGGGCCACAGGAUCUGGUUGAAGGAGCAUCCCAGACCCCAGACCGCUCAGGGGAGGGCACCUUCUCUUUUGAGGAAGGACUGCAGGCUUUGAGGUGCUCCCCUGACCCCUUGGCCCAGGAAUUUAUCAGGGCCAUAGAGACCAUCGGUCAGUUCGCUCUCCGCCUGUUCAGUGAGCAUCAGCAGCUGAAGAGCCGGCUGCACCGCCUAGAAGCCCAGCAGCAGGAGAUGGUCUCCCGUCACCUGGACGAGAAGGCGCAGCUACAGGAGGCAGUGCGGGAGCUGAAGAGAAACCAGGAGGCCUCCAGAGCCCAGCAAACCGCUCGCCAAAGAUCAGCCUCACGGCCCUCGCCAUCCACAGGCGUAAGGACUCUUGAAAAAGGUGACUGGUUCUUAAGGAUGGGACUGAGCCUUGGAGAUGGGGAAGAGUGGUCUCCCGUCACCUGGACGAGAAGGCGCAGCUACAGGAGGCAGUGCGGGAGCUGAAGAGAAACCAGGAGGCCUCCAGAGCCCAGCAAACCGCUCGCCAAAGAUCAGCCUCACGGCCCUCGCCAUCCACAGGCGUAAGGACUCUUGAAAAAGGUGACUGGUUCUUAAGGAUGGGACUGAGCCUUGGAGAUGGGGAAGAGAUACUUUGAUUGAUUGAUUGAUUGAUUGAUUGAUUCAUUCAUUCAUUCAUUCAUAGACCACCUUUCUCCCAAGAAGGGUGGCUCACAGUAUUAAAAGGAAUGGGGUUAAAAUCUUAGUAUGUAAAACAUUAAAAAGCAAUUAAACUGUGCCCUAUUUAAAAUAGGAUUAAAUAAUUAAAAGCAAGUAAACAUUUUAAACUAUCGUAAC